This 275-nucleotide ribosomal RNA is filed under the name uncultured bacterium. Its description in RNAcentral is "partial 16S ribosomal RNA". It matches the Rfam family "Bacterial small subunit ribosomal RNA", at positions 29 to 312 of the family's 1533-position model. The record is from RNAcentral.
AACGAACGCUGGCGGCAGGCCUAACACAUGCAAGUCGAACGCCGUAGCAAUACGGUAGUGGCAGACGGGUGAGUAACGCGUGGGAACAUACCCCUCGGUUCGGAAUAACUCAGGGAAACUUGAGCUAAUACCGGAUACGGUCCGAGGUUUUGAUCGACCUUGGUAGAAAGAUUUAUCGCCGAAGGAUUGGCCCGCGUCUAGAUUUAGCUUGUUGGUGAGGUAAUGGCUCACCAAGGCGACGAUCAGUAGCUGGUCUGAGAGGAUGAUCAGCCACA